AAGUUGGAGGAUUCCGUGGCGGGUUGCAGGGUGGAGGUGAAGGGAGGUUUGGUGGAUGUAAAAGGCGGAGUCCUGUUAUGGAGUUUUUUGGUUGAAUGGUUGUUGAUGAAUGGAAGAUGGAGAAGGUAGCAGGUUGAAGGAUUGAAGAGUGUGGUGGAAGGUUGAUGGUGGUUUUUGAAGAAUGGUGAUGGUUGAAGAAGAGAAGAGGGAUGGUUGAAGAAUUUGUGAAUUGUUGAAUUAUGGGAAAGAUGAUGGAGAGCUUGAAUUGAAGAUGGAGGAUGGUUCUUAUAGGAGAGUAAGGUUAGAGAGAUGGUUGGUUAUGACAGUUGGAAGUAGUUAGAGUUUGUUGAAUUCUGUUAGAGUUUGGUUUGAGUUUGUUUUGACAGUUAGAUUUCUAUUAUUUCGGUUGGUUAAGAGGUUUGCUAAGGAGGUGGAAUUUCUGUUAUAAAGUUAGUUUGCAAUUUUCCCCUGAUUUUGUUAUGUGCUGCUUUCUUUUAUGCGGGUUUUGUUAGAAGGUUUGGUUGAAGCGGCUUAGUUU
Molecule: long non-coding RNA, 538 nt
Filed under: Lathyrus oleraceus (garden pea)
Lineage: Eukaryota; Viridiplantae; Streptophyta; Magnoliopsida; Fabales; Fabaceae
Description: Pisum sativum (pea) long non-coding RNA (PSAT_LNC031865)
Source: RNAcentral